GGCACGAUGGCAGAGUGGUUAUUGCGUAAGACUAGAAUGACGCUUUAGUCUAGAGCAUCUUAUUCCUUCGGGAGCGUAGGUUCAAGUCCUACUCGUGUCG
Molecule: transfer RNA, 100 nt
Filed under: Eutypa lata
Lineage: Eukaryota; Fungi; Ascomycota; Sordariomycetes; Xylariales; Diatrypaceae
Also listed under: 1 other name
Description: tRNA-Ser
Rfam family: tRNA
About the family: Transfer RNA (tRNA) molecules are approximately 80 nucleotides in length. Their secondary structure includes four short double-helical elements and three loops (D, anti-codon, and T loops).
Source: RNAcentral